AUACACAGCCAUAUCACCCUGCAGCCCAAGACUAGUCAUUCACUCUGAAGCUAAGCAGGGUUGAGCCUUUCAGUACCUGGAUGGGUGACCACAUUGGAAAACUAGGUUGCUGUUGGAA
This is a non-coding RNA of Danio rerio (zebrafish), 118 nucleotides long. The record is from Rfam. Lineage: Eukaryota; Metazoa; Chordata; Actinopteri; Cypriniformes; Danionidae.